UGUCAAUCUGAAAGAGAGAUGGCUAGGUUCUGAGAUGAGAGGAUUUCUGCCUAGUCCCUCAAGCAGACAAUCUCCAGUGCAAUACCAUCUGAUGCUGUCAUUAAAUCCUCAGCGUCAGGUUUCUGUAGCAACAGAACAGCCUUCCCUGCUCCACUGACUGCUUCUGAAAUCGGAACAAAAACAGUUAAUCUUGUGCUCUUCUUCUAUGCUUUUUGACAGGCUGAGUUCUUCGUAUCUGGAAGGAAGUGGGCUGUGGAAAGUUCACUCAAAUGACAUGAACAGCUGUCAUAUGAGGGGGGAUACGAGUUUCAUUUCAGUAAUUAUCUAUUCUUUCUCAUUAUUUAUUUAUGAUCCUAAUGAAUUGUUGCUAUUAGUAACAUUGAUUAUGUUUUUAAAGAGGAUCACUUAGAUAAAGCAUCCAUUUAUUUGGAUAGUUACGCAGUGUAAUGUUGACAUGCUUUUAAAAGACCUACUGUACAAAAUUUGGUUAUGUUAGUGAGCAAAAAUAUGAAAAAAAGUUGAACAAAACAGUUUUUGAUUGUGACUAUGUUACAUAAAUUAAAAGUAGAUUGUGCCUUUAAACUUCUG
RNAcentral lists this long non-coding RNA (588 nucleotides) under Coturnix japonica (Japanese quail). Its description in RNAcentral is "lncRNA (ENSCJPG00005007245.1)". Lineage: Eukaryota; Metazoa; Chordata; Aves; Galliformes; Phasianidae. The record is from RNAcentral.